RNAcentral lists this unclassified non-coding RNA (289 nucleotides) under uncultured fungus. Its description in RNAcentral is "partial contains small subunit ribosomal RNA, internal transcribed spacer 1, and 5.8S ribosomal RNA". The stretch from base 1 to 73 matches the Rfam family "Eukaryotic small subunit ribosomal RNA", at positions 1759 to 1831 of the family's 1831-position model. Lineage: Eukaryota; Fungi. The record is from RNAcentral.
UCAAACUUGGUCAUUUAGAGGAAGUAAAAGUCGUAACAAGGUUUCCGUAGGUGAACCUGCGGAAGGAUCAUUACCGAGCGCGCCCCCCGUAAAAAAGGGGGCACCUCCCGUCCUUUGCCGGCCCCCCCAACUCGGGGGGCUUUUACGUUCUGCCUUGGCGGGGUCCCCCCCGCCAGAGGACCCUCAAGAAACUCUGGUCUAAACCGUUCGGUCCGAGCAUUCUUUACAAAAUUGAAGCAAAACUUUCAACAACGGAUCUCUUGGUUCUGGCAUCGAUGAAGAACGCAGC